Molecule: ribosomal RNA, 495 nt
Filed under: uncultured bacterium
Lineage: Bacteria
Description: partial 16S ribosomal RNA
Rfam family: Bacterial small subunit ribosomal RNA
Source: RNAcentral
GACGAACGCUGGCGGCGUGCCUAAUACAUGCAAGUAGAACGCUGAAGGAGGAGCUUGCUUCUCUGGAUGAGUUGCGAACGGGUGAGUAACGCGUAGGUAACCUGCCUGGUAGCGGGGGAUAACUAUUGAAAACGAUAGCUAAUACCGCAUAAGAGUAGAUGUUGCAUGACAUUUGCUUAAAAGGUGCAAUUGCAUCACUACCAGAUGGACCUGCGUUGUAUUAGCUAGUUGGUGAGGUAACGGCUCACCAAGGCGACGAUACAUAGCCGACCUGAGAGGGUGAUCGGCCACACUGGGACUGAGACACGGCCCAGACUCCUACGGGAGGCAGCAGUAGGGAAUCUUCGGCAAUGGACGGAAGUCUGACCGAGCAACGCCGCGUGAGUGAAGAAGGUUUUCGGAUCGUAAAGCUCUGUUGUAAGAGAAGAACGAGUGUGAGAGUGGAAAGUUCACACUGUGACGGUAUCUUACCAGAAAGGGACGGCUAACUACGUG